This 413-nucleotide long non-coding RNA is filed under the name Acanthaster planci (crown-of-thorns starfish). RNAcentral describes it as "uncharacterized LOC110976110, transcript variant X3". The record is from RNAcentral. Lineage: Eukaryota; Metazoa; Echinodermata; Asteroidea; Valvatida; Acanthasteridae.
UUUGUUUACAAAUUUCCGCACCGCGUGCGGAUAAACAGGCCUUUACCGCUGAUUUUGCACAGAUAAAUUAAUUCUGUUUGCUUUCAACUGUUGUAAAGCUACAGGUACUUUUUUGAACACUACCAAAUUCAUGAAUGCCAUCAUAUAAACUCCAAAAAGGAUGAAGGUGGCUGUGGAAGGAGGGUGCCCAGUAUGAUGUCAUUGAGAUGCAGAGGGUGAACAUGUGGCACAUUUCUCCAGAGCUUUAAAAAGCUGAAUAUGGAGUUUAUCAAAUUUUGCGAUCUUUCAAUCUUUGGGGAGGUGAUUAAUCAGGUUCGUGUUGAGACAUGGUUUUCAGUACACUGCAAAGUGUCACUAUCCGAAGACAUUCCGUCUUGGUAUCCGCGUUGCAUCUCAUGACCACACUUUCUCAC